AUCAACAUUCUCAUCAUGACAUUACACCACAGAAUUUUAUAAAAAAAACGUUAUUCUGUCAUUAUUCUAACACACAAUAAUCAUGGCAGCUAAAAGUAAAAAAUUGAAAACUUUGCAUGAGUUUUUUAUGCCAAACACAUCAAAACGAAAUUCCGGUGACAAUGAUCCAGAUGAUCCAGUAACAUUAGAACAGUGUAGUCAAACAGUGGUAGAAUCCGAAAAAAUUACUGUACAUGAGCUGUUAGGUAUUUAUUUACAAUUAUUUUAAUAAUGUUUUAUUUAACUUAUGAAUUAAUAAUAUUCAUUUUAUUAGCCUAACCUAACCUUGUAUUACCUAAUGUUUAUGUUCAGUUCUAGACUGUAUUUAUAGAUGCAUUGUCUCUAGUUAAAUAUUUAAUUUAUAACUUAUAAUAUAUUAUGUAAUAUGUAUAUCCUAAUUCCUAAUGAUUUUGUUUCAUAAAUGUCUUAUAUUGUGAAAUACCCUGUGGCCUGUAUGGCUGUAUAUUAACAUAUUAGUUAGUAGUAACUUAGUACCUGUCUAUUGUCUAAUAUGUAUUUAUUUAAUAACAUUGAUGUUAAAUGUUGUAAUUAAAUAUUUUGUAUAUAACUUAAAAAAAUUGUGUUGUUUAUUUUUUUUGUGUUGCUCUGUAAGAGUUAAUAUAAUAAAUAAAUUAUAGUUUAUAAGGUA
Metopolophium dirhodum (rose-grain aphid) is the source of this 688-nucleotide long non-coding RNA. RefSeq lists it as uncharacterized. The transcript has 2 exons. Lineage: Eukaryota; Metazoa; Arthropoda; Insecta; Hemiptera; Aphididae. The record is from RefSeq and is a predicted model, not a curated record.